Molecule: ribosomal RNA, 586 nt
Filed under: uncultured bacterium
Lineage: Bacteria
Description: partial 16S ribosomal RNA
Rfam family: Bacterial small subunit ribosomal RNA
Source: RNAcentral
UGGGGAAUUUUGGACAAUGGACGAAAGCCUGAUCCAGCAAUGCCGCGUGUGUGAAGAAGGCCUUCGGGUUGUAAAGCACUUUUGUCCGGAAAGAAAUCCUUGGCUCUAAUACAGUCGGGGGAUGACGGUACCGGAAGAAUAAGCACCGGCUAACUACGUGCCAGCAGCCGCGGUAAUACGUAGGGUGCAAGCGUUAAUCGGAAUUACUGGGCGUAAAGCGUGCGCAGGCGGUUUGCUAAGACCGAUGUGAAAUCCCCGGGCUCAACCUGGGAACUGCAUUGGUGACUGGCAGGCUAGAGUAUGGCAGAGGGGGGUAGAAUUCCACGUGUAGCAGUGAAAUGCGUAGAGAUGUGGAGGAAUACCGAUGGCGAAGGCAGCCCCCUGGGCCAAUACUGACGCUCAUGCACGAAAGCGUGGGGAGCAAACAGGAUUAGAUACCCUGGUAGUCCACGCCCUAAAACGAUGUCAACUAGUUGUUGGGGAUUCAUUUCCUUAGUAACGUAGCUAACGCGUGAAGUUGACCGCCUGGGGAGUACGGUCGCAAGAUUAAAACUCAAAGGAAUUGACGGGGUCAUAGCUGUUUCCU